AUCCUUUUCUGCUCAAAAGCAUGAUAAUUGGGUGUUCACACUGUUGUGUGAGAUGUGCCUUUCUUUAACUUUGUAACAAAGUCAGCACAUUACCUGUCUAUGUGAAA
This is a non-coding RNA of Ictidomys tridecemlineatus (thirteen-lined ground squirrel), 107 nucleotides long. Lineage: Eukaryota; Metazoa; Chordata; Mammalia; Rodentia; Sciuridae. The record is from Rfam.